CUCUGGUGAAAGUUUAAUUGAGAAGCUUAGAUUGUCCUACUGGGUCCUUGACAGUCAAUCAAGACAUCCGCCUUCUCUGUAACGUCACAAAGCUCCUAGGAGUGUCUCCACACAACAACAUCUGUAAGGAACAACUAGAAAAAUGUCCGGCAAAGCGGGUGGAAAAGCAAAACCAUUGAAGAAGCCCAAAGCAGCUGAUAAGGAUCUUGACGAACAUGACAAGGCAUUCCUUCAGAAGAAGAAGGAUGAGGCAGCUGCUUUGAAAGCUCUAAAAGAGAAAGCAGGUGCAAAGGGAGGUUUCGCAAAGGUGAAAGGCACCAAGUAAAUGCCAUCAGGUACGCGAUGAAUGUUUAGCGUGUGCAAUAAGAGGGUACCAAUAAUUGACAGCCCUGUCUGAUGUUUCUUUAUGCACAUCAUCUUUGUGUUUUCGAAGGUAUUAUGACGGUCCCACGCAAUGAUUAUCUUCUAUCGCAGGAACACAGAGUUCUGAGAAUCCCUUCAAGGGAUACAGGCCAUUGUGCCUGUCAGACCAUGAAGGGGUUCUGCUUCUCUGCACUGCUCUGCAGCGCCUGCUGAUGGACUGGACAAGCAGGAAGGCAAGUGUCAUUGGCCAGGGGCCUCAGGAUGCUGUUUGACUAUUAAGAAUGGUCAGCGGAGAGCUUCACAUGCAUCUUGCGUGACACAAGCUUGUUGUUGUCCUGCGCUCACUGUGAGGCCUUGCUGAGAGGGGCUCGGGAAAUUCUGAACUUGCUACCUGCACAGCAAAGUUGUUGGCAUGCUGCAAAAUGAGGACAGAUGAUAACGGCUGAGGGCUUACUCAGCCGGUCCUGUGAGAACCUGGACCCUAGUGUAACGUAGUUGAUUUGCUUCAAUGUGUGCGGGUUGUCAUGAUGGGCCGAUGUGGAGAAGCAUUGUGAGCACUUGACGCAGCUUGUGAACAAGUUAGCCAUGGAGGAUGCCCUCAGUGAUCUGAUGUCACCACUAGAGACCUGUCGAGAGCGGGCAAGAUUUUGGGCACUGACAGUCUCCCCCAAGAGCGUGUCACCUCAAGAGUCUGCUUUGACGCUGCAGACUGAAUACAUUGUGCCUUCUCAUUGCUGUUGUAGCUGACAUUUGUUGCAGC
Molecule: long non-coding RNA, 1123 nt
Filed under: Coccomyxa subellipsoidea
Lineage: Eukaryota; Viridiplantae; Chlorophyta; Trebouxiophyceae; Coccomyxaceae
Description: long non-coding RNA (CSUB_LNC000300)
Source: RNAcentral